Molecule: long non-coding RNA, 415 nt
Organism: Poecilia latipinna (sailfin molly)
Lineage: Eukaryota; Metazoa; Chordata; Actinopteri; Cyprinodontiformes; Poeciliidae
Exons: 2
Source: RefSeq, a predicted model, not a curated record
AUUGAUAUUUCUGUGAAUAAUUAUAUAUAAUUGAUCAUAAAUCAAAGUUCAUAUCUUCUGUUCUAAUAAAUAUUUUCUGAGUUUGUUCCUGGACUUGGAUCCAGAGUUUAAUUUAGUCCCUCUGUGUAACUGAGUUGGACCUGCUGACCUGAGGUCAGAACAGGACAGCAUUCGGACCCCCAGUGUGUAGAAAUCCCCCUCAUGUCAAGCAGGUCAAAGGUCAUUCAACCCAGUCUAGAAAAGUGAAUUCCUGGAAUCUGACAGGAACAAAUCAAUAAUCAAUGAUUGAUGCUUCAACACUUUGAUCAGAACCUGGAAUGAUUUUACUGACUAAAAUCCUCCAACACAACAUGACCCAGUACCAGGUUCUGGUUCUGGUUCUGAAGUCAGCAGGUCUUUAUUGAAGCAGCAGCUU